CCCCUCUCAGGGUCGCACCUGGAGAGUUUCCAGUACUCUAUCAGUCUAGACUAUGGGAGGGAGAGUCAAGCGGAGGCCUAACCAUUCCAUUCCCAGCUUGGCCAGUGGCCAGUGAGUGGAAGGCAAUCUGCUAUAAGU
Molecule: small nucleolar RNA, 138 nt
Filed under: Ornithorhynchus anatinus (platypus)
Lineage: Eukaryota; Metazoa; Chordata; Mammalia; Monotremata; Ornithorhynchidae
Source: RNAcentral